AGAUCAUCCUAUCUGUUGAUAAGAGGAAGAACUGGUCCCCGCUAUGGCCCUUGUACUGAGAGUCCUGUGAGUUACACCAGCACUAGCUCUCAUUUAUAUAAAUUGAAGCAGAGUCUAAUUCCUUAAAGGCGUGAUCCAGCCCCCACUGAGAUGUGAAAUUGCUUCAACAGAAACAGGACCUGACCUUAACCGAGAGACAAGCCAGGACCUGGAGCAGCCCCAACUGCUUGACACAGGCACAGACACGCCGGCAGCCACUCCUCACCCUGCCUCAGUUUGGAUCGCAGUCAGUUCCUGGGAGAGAAUAGAAAUUCAUCAUGAUGAGCCGAGUGGGAGGUCAGAUGUCUUCCCGAGGGGGUUUCUCUUAACCUCCCUCUUAGGAUCUUGAUUACACACUCAACACAGAUUAACAGCAACAACAGGUGUCUGCAAAGACGCACAGAAUGUGUUCUCCCUGCUUGAUCCUUCCUGUUACGUGAUGGACUCUGCUCAGACGUGGUGGAGAUUGGUAGCACUGAGAUUGCACUCCAGUCAAGGAAUUUGAAAUCUGAUUUGAGGUGAGUCGUGCUCACAAUUAUGAGCUCCAGCUCAUAAUCAAAUUAUUUCAGUUGUGGCAGGGA
This 620-nucleotide long non-coding RNA is filed under the name Struthio camelus australis. RNAcentral's name for it is "lncRNA (ENSSCUG00000001880.1)". Lineage: Eukaryota; Metazoa; Chordata; Aves; Struthioniformes; Struthionidae. The record is from RNAcentral.